UACGUAGGUGACAAGCGUUGUCCGGAUUUACUGGGCGUAAAGAGCGCGCAGGCGGUCGUUCAAGUCGAGUGUGAAAGCCCCCGGCUCAACUGGGGAGGGUCAUUCGAUACUGAUCGACUCGAAGGCAGGAGAGGGAAGUGGAAUUCCCGGUGUAGUGGUGAAAUGCGUAGAUAUCGGGAGGAACACCAGUGGCGAAGGCGACUUCCUGGCCUGUUCUUGACGCUGAGGCACGAAAGCUAGGGGAGCAAACGGG
Molecule: ribosomal RNA, 253 nt
Filed under: uncultured bacterium
Lineage: Bacteria
Description: partial 16S ribosomal RNA
Rfam family: Bacterial small subunit ribosomal RNA
Source: RNAcentral